AAUCAACGCUGGCGGCGUGCCUCAGACAUGCAAGUCGAACGAGAACCUCCCUUCGGGGAGGAGACAGUGGCGCACGGGUGAGUAACACGUGGGUAAUUUACCUUUGGGUGGGGAACAACAGCCGGAAACGGCUGCUAAUACCGCAUAAUGCAGCGGCUCGACAUCGAGACAGUUGUUAAAGCGGGGGAUCGCAAGACCUCGCGCCUGAAGAGAAGCCUGCGGCGGAUAGCUAGUUGGUAGGGUAAUGGCCUACCAAGGCGACGAUCUGUAACCGGCCUGAGAGGGCGGUCGGUCACACUGACACUGACAUACGGGUCAGACUCCUACGGGAGGCAGCAGUCGGGAAUUUUGGGCAAUGGGCGAAAGCCUGACCCAGCAACGCCGCGUGAAGGA
This 393-nucleotide ribosomal RNA is filed under the name uncultured bacterium. RNAcentral's name for it is "bacterial SSU rRNA". It matches the Rfam family "Bacterial small subunit ribosomal RNA", at positions 32 to 408 of the family's 1533-position model. The record is from RNAcentral.